This 253-nucleotide ribosomal RNA is filed under the name uncultured bacterium. Its description in RNAcentral is "partial 16S ribosomal RNA". It matches the Rfam family "Bacterial small subunit ribosomal RNA", at positions 524 to 775 of the family's 1533-position model. The record is from RNAcentral.
UACGAAGGGGGCUAGCGUUGCUCGGAAUCACUGGGCGUAAAGGGUGCGUAGGCGGGUCUUUAAGUCAGGGGUGAAAUCCUGGAGCUCAACUCCAGAACUGCCUUUGAUACUGAAGAUCUUGAGUUCGGGAGAGGUGAGUGGAACUGCGAGUGUAGAGGUGAAAUUCGUAGAUAUUCGUCAAGAACACCAGUGGCGAAGGCGGCUCACUGGCCCGAUACUGACGCUGAGGCACGAAAGCGUGGGGAGCAACAGG